UGCCGUGUAAUUUGAGUAUAAUAAAGUCUGUUUCUUGUGAGGUUUUCUGUCCUUAGAUAAAGAGAGAUAUGAAAGCCUGUCUACAGAUGAAGAGGUCCCAAUGAAGAGCAGUGGUUCUCAGUCCUGGGGACUCAAAGGGGUGCACAUUUUUGUUUUUGCCUUAGCACUGCACAGCUGAUUCAAAUGAUCAACUCAUCAUCAAGCUUCAAGUGAUACCUUGCAACUGGAGAUUCUUUCAAAACGAUUGGCUACAGUUACCGUGUAGGGCACUGCAAGGUUGGGUGACCAGGGCCAUCUGGGACUGCCUCCUGGAGGAAUCCAGGUGUGUGAAGGCUACUUGUGUUCUGCAUAACUUCAUGAGGAACAGGAGGGGAUCUGCAGCUCGCCGCUGUGUGCCAGAGGAGAAAGUCUGGUGCUCAGCAGGAUGCGUCAAGGAUGGGGUCCAACAAUGCAGCAAGAGAGGCAAUCCGUGUGCGUGAGAUCUUCACCUCCUACUUCUUUGAAGAGGGUGCUGUUCCCUGGCAACACCUUAGACUACACUAUGCACAACCAAAGGCUUUUAAGAGCCAUCCACAUUGCAAUUAGAGUAUUCUUCCAUUUACUUAGCUAUGUCAACUGCAGUUAUUCAAUUCCCAGUUUAUCUCCCUUUUGAUUUCUACUUCUCAGGUGAGGGUGCUGUUUAGGUAAGGGUGUCUGCACAAAAACAAAACAGGCUAUUUUAAGUCACCCAUAUUGAAAAAAAUUAACAAUUAGACAUAACCCACACCUAUAACCCACACCUACACACUCAUGUAUCAAUCUGAUUGAUGGAUUGUGUUGUGCAGUAAGCAGGCUCAGGUGUAUAACUGUGGCUACUUCCACCUUCAAAGAAUAGGCAAGAGGGCCAACCAUGGAGAAUAGUAAAACACUUAAUUAUUUCUAUAACUAUGCUAUAUUGUUUGUCCUUGUGUCUGUGCAUGUAUUUCAGUAUAAAGUACCCUCCAGUCACUUUGAUUGGACACCAGGUGAGGCCACACACACAGAUUCCUGUUGAAGACUUGUCUUUUUAACUACCUUUUUUUUCUCAAUAACAGUCUCUCUCCUUCACUUCAUCCCUCUCUCCCCUUCUCCCUAAGUCCUCUAAGUUAUCAGCUGUGUCAGUGAAUCCCUCCCGCAUCUGAACUGGCUACAUAGAGGGCACAGCAUGAUCAGAGGAAUGUUUUGAUAUAAGAGAGGAUGCCAACCCCCAGUCCCGUCAUCGCCACCUUACCCUCUCUUAAGAUAACCUUCGGGCUGAUGAGAGACACUAUUGUAACUGUGAUGAACUGAGAUCAUAUUAGGGUAGCACUGUGACUCAUUAAUCAUAUUCUGCCUUCCCUGCUCUGUUCUUUCCCUUUCUGUCCUUUACACCUCUCUCGCCACCUCUUUCUUCCUGUUUUUAGAAUGCACAACAGCUGUGCAUUGAAGUAAAGAUUGAACUUGCAUUUAUAAUAUAUUACAAUUAUGAUAUUUAUAAUGCGCAUAUUUAUAACACUAUUGAACUUCUCAUUUGAUGAAAUACUAGACCUAUCCUGUGUUUAUCAGAUCAAUUGUCACGACUUCCACUGAAGUCGGUUCCUCUCCUUGUUCGGGUGGCGUUUGGCGUCACCGGACUUCUAGCCAUCGUCGAUCCACUUUCAUUUUCCAUUUGUUUUGUCUUGUUUUCCUACACACCUGGUUCUCAUUUCCCUCAUUAAGUGUUGUAUAUUUACCUUUCUGUCCCCCCAUAUCUUUGUGGUAAUGGUUACUAGUGCGCGUCAGGUUUU
Long non-coding RNA from Oncorhynchus keta (chum salmon), 1784 nucleotides. RefSeq lists it as uncharacterized. The transcript is spliced from 3 exons. Lineage: Eukaryota; Metazoa; Chordata; Actinopteri; Salmoniformes; Salmonidae. The record is from RefSeq and is a predicted model, not a curated record.